AAGUGUUCGGAUCGCGGCGACUUGGGCGGUUCGUUGCCCGUGACGUCGCGAGAAGUCCACUGAACCUUAUCAUUUAGAGGAAGGAGAAGUCGUAACAAGGUUUCCGUAGGUGAACCUGCGGAAGGAUCAU
This 130-nucleotide ribosomal RNA is filed under the name Wulfenia carinthiaca. Its description in RNAcentral is "partial 18S ribosomal RNA". It matches the Rfam family "Eukaryotic small subunit ribosomal RNA", at positions 1704 to 1829 of the family's 1831-position model. The record is from RNAcentral. Lineage: Eukaryota; Viridiplantae; Streptophyta; Magnoliopsida; Lamiales; Plantaginaceae.